UCAGGCCUAACACAUGCAAGUCGAACGAACCCUUCGGGGUUAGUGGCGCACGGGUGCGUAACGCGUGGGGAUCUGCCCUUUGCUUCGGAAUAACAGUUAGAAAUGACUGCUAAUACCGGAUGAUGUCGCAAGACCAAAGAUUUAUCGGCAAAGGAUGAACCCGCGUAGGAUUAGCUAGUUGGUGGGGUAAAGGCCUACCAAGGCGACGAUCCUUAGCUGGUCUGAGAGGAUGAUCAGCCACACUGGGACUGAGACACGGCCCAGACUCCUACGGGAGGCAACAGUGGGGAAUAUUGGACAAUGGGCGCAAGCCUGAUCCAGCAAUGCCGCGUGAGUAAAGGAGGCCUUCGGGUUGUAAAGCUCUUUUACCAGGGAUGAUA
Molecule: ribosomal RNA, 380 nt
Filed under: uncultured bacterium
Lineage: Bacteria
Description: bacterial SSU rRNA
Rfam family: Bacterial small subunit ribosomal RNA
Source: RNAcentral